Molecule: long non-coding RNA, 2327 nt
Organism: Musca domestica (house fly)
Lineage: Eukaryota; Metazoa; Arthropoda; Insecta; Diptera; Muscidae
Exons: 2
Source: RefSeq, a predicted model, not a curated record
UUUAGCGUAUGUUUUCUACUUUGAAAUUGAUUUCGUUUAUUGUUUGAAUACAUCUUUUAUAUAUAAAUGGCAACAUGUCUGGAUGGUUGGCGGCAAACUUUGGGGGAUUUCAUUUUUUACUACUGUAUUUUUAAGCACGUAUUCCAAAUAUGUGUGCGUGUGUGUAUUUGUUCCUCGAACACAAAAAAUUCCCUUCGUAAUAUAAUUAUGUAUUUUCCCGUGGGGAAACACCAUCUUCCUAAUAAUGUCAAUGUUUUUUAUACCUGUCAACAAAAAUAUAUUUUUUUUCAACAAGUACAAAUAUAGAUAAUGUGUACCAGCACAUUUUAAUCAAUUUAACGUUUGAUUACGUUGUAUGGGAUGAAUCAAUCCAGAACGAUUUUAUGCGUUCUUAUCAAAAUCGCUUAAUAUUCUAAGUUUCUGAGUCUGUGAUAUGGAUUAAGGUUUAAAGAGAAUUUGGCAUCUAAGUUUCGCGAUACGACAAUUCGCUCUUUUGCUAGUUGUACCCAUGAUACAACAACAAAAUGUUUAGGUUAACUGAGUUAAAUUUUGGACCACUAAGGUCCGGAGAAUGAUAAAAGAAUGCAUGUAGUCGCACUGACAUAGCUGAUGGGACAAUGAAUUGUUAAACCAAUUUUGAAAUUGAAAAUUUUGAAUGAAAAAUUUUUUUUUUUUGAAAAAUCAUUUUUAAAAUUUUGACAUUUCAAUGUUCUCAAGCGUUGAUGCAUCUUCCUGCAUUCUUCUCACAUGGUCCAAAGAUUUUAGUUAUACAGAUAUUCUCAGAAAAAGAUAACCUCUAUAAAACCAGAAGAAAUUGGAGUCGGUAGAAGAUAAACUCUAAAACGAAAGAAAUUUGAACAUGGGGAUGGGAAAAGAGGAUGGACACACUAAAAACUUGAAUGUGCUGUCGAAAUUCCUCCUGUACAUUCGGGAUUUAGAGGAAACAACGUAGGACAACAAAAUUUUUGCAAGCCUAUUGCAAACAUCUUGUGAAACUAAUUGCGAGGGGAUUCAGUUCCAGGACACGCAGCUAAAAAGUCACAAAAUGCACUAAAACCAAUCGGGAAAUACUAACAUGUCGAGUCCGAAACAGGAUUUAUCCCAAACGAUGAUUCAGUUGUGUACAGAAAUGUCACGUAUACCGAUUCUGUUAAGGGAAAGACAAAAGGUUCUCAAAGAUUUAAUGGAUAUUUUGGAAGAUCUACCGCAAAUAAGAAACCGACGAUUUUGAGUAAGUGUGUUUGCACCUUAUUUUUUUUUUUUUUUUUGAAAAGCUGCAUAGCAUUGACCGGGAAGAGAUCCACACAAUGGUACGAAUAAGUCCCGCCAUGUACUACAAUUUUUAUAUAAUUUAUAUACAAAUUCACCUGGAGCUAUUAUAUCUGUAUAGUGUAGAUUGUUUUUAACGUAAGUAUAUUAAUACACUUGAAAUUAUUUGCAAUUUGGCAGGACAUUCUACCAAACUGAUAUUUCACUGUGAUACGUUUCGGUAUAUGAUAACCUUCACACAUAUAUAUAUUUUCAGAUAACUGGCACAUGGUGAAAGUGUUAAAUAUUUGUGUAUGACGUUUAAAAUGGGAGCGUCAACAGUCCGAAGAAUUAUAAAAUAAACAACUGGGAAAUUGUGGAAAAAAAACGUGGCUAAGUAAUGCACAAGAUUUUGAAAAGCAGUGGAAAUUUGGUCAUUGCAUCGGCGCUAUCGACGGAAAAUAAAUCCAUAUUUCAAUUACAAAGGCGUGUACAAUAUUCCUUUAUAAUUUCCAUACAUUAGACACAAACUUCUUUUAAAGGUAUAUUCUCAAUCGUAUUGAUGGCCGUUUAUGAUACCAACUACAGAUUCAGUAUGGAUGAUAUUGGAGUGACGGGGGAAUAUUAAGGAAUUCCAAUAUUAGAUGACGAUGCCUUUCCACUUCGGGAAACCUCAUGCGUCCUUAUCCAGGAACAUUUCAUCCUGCAGAUAGGGAAAAAUUCAAUAUGAGGCUAUCCAGAGCCAGAAGGACCAUAGAAACUACAUUUGGUAUUUUGUAGGCUAGAUGGAGGGUACUGCUAUCUCCAUUAAAUAUGCAUCCCCAACCGCUGAAGAUACUGUGAAAUCAACAGUUAUCAUUCAUAACUUUAAAAGAAGAAACAUUAAGCGACCACCAAUAAUUUAUGAUGACAAUAAGGCAUAACAUAUGUGCCUUGAAAGAUGUAAGAAUCGAUUAUUGGAUCUAAAAGUAGCUAUGAAAAAAAAAACAUCUGCAAGACGUGAACACUACAGUAAGCAACCCUAGUAAUGUGCUCACUCAAAUUCAAAAAGAAGACUACUAGUGGAACGAACAUAUCGC